GCUAAAGUCAACAGUCGCUUGGUUUGAGCUCAAAUAAAUGCGGGGAUGCCUCGGCUCGGAGCAGUCGGCCUCCUCCCUCCGCGAGCUGGACGCUCCGCAGCCCGCCCGCCCGCCGGCCCGCCGGCCGCCGCAGGAACCCCUGGAUAAAGACCAGCUCAACCAUCGCUGAGAAAACAGACCUAGGCUUCCCAGGGCGGUUAACCCGCCGGCCUCUGGGCAGAGACUACAAAACAAAAUAAAACAACAACAAAAAACUCCCAGUGUGUUUCCUACUCUUCUUUUUCUUGGAGGAAAGCAAAGGGAGAGAAAUGGACUUCACCAGUGGUCUUUGGCUUCAUCAAUUCACAGGAAAUGGCAUCAAGAUGGUUCAACUAAGACAUGAUCACUAAAAACAUUAUAAUAAUACCUUUUUGAAAAACUCAGUUUCUCCUGUUUACUAAAUAUUUAUUUCAUCAACAUGGGCUGCAUUCCACUGUGUCAGGAUUCUGCAUGUGGGUGGAGCACUGUUCCGGCCUGAGAAGAUGGUUCUGAGGCCACUUAGCAAGACAUUUUCCAGCAUGAGCAGGUUUCUCUGUGGAAAUAGUGACACCUGUUCUGGUGUGUUGUCUUUCCUCAGGGAACUUAAGGGGUACUAAGCUCCUGAAAAUGUUCUUUAUGCUGGUUGAAGCUCUUAUGUCACUGUACUGAUUCCCUACGAUGCAGAUUUGAAUCACAGAGUAAUUAAAAUAUGGAUCAAAUAAGGCUGGGGUUCACCAAGGCUGAAAGCUGUAGCCAUUCAAGGCAUCAUUUCUGUCAUGAAAAUAUAGGACCUUUUCAAAACAUGCCUUCAGGAAGGUGUUCCCUUUUCAAACAAAAGUCUAAUGACUGCAUAACUCUUCUUGACCACAUCUUACACUUUCUCUAGACUUGCUUAUUUACAGCUACUGGAACAAAAAGAUGAAAUGAAUAAAGCACACUGAUUGUCCUAAGAGUCUUCUGUGACUAAAAGCACAUGAGCUUCUCCCCAGGCUGAGCUUUGACCCUCCCAAGCAUUUCCCCAAAGGCCAUGACACUGCAUCAGAUUGCUCCUGGACACUUUCCUCAGAGUUUUCAACAAAUAUAAACUGAGGAAUGGAGCACAGCACCAGAUUUGCUAAUCAAGAGGCAAUGGUCCCAGUCCAAAUGGGUGCUGUGUGUGAAUACAGAGCUCAGGAGAAGGGAAGGAGGUGUGUGAACAUCAGGAAUUGCAAAAUCUUGCUGAACCAAUAGACCAACAGCCAUUAACAUUUAUCAAUGCAAAGAUCCUAAAAUAUACAAGUGUGGAGUUGUCCUGCCCUAAGAGCUGAAGCUGUGACAAUCACGCUGCCAUGGUAGAUAUUUAAGCUCCCCUGAGGUUACUGAAUCUAACAAUGAAUAAACAAUGAAGAGUAGCUAAUUUUUGGAAAUCUCUUUCUAUGACCGGAAAAUAUUCACAAACUCAGAGUGAUUGUUUGGGGUGAAAGAUGGUCCCAUGCUUUGUGGGCCUCUCUUUGCUAUCUAUACAACGUUGGAAAUGAACCCCUCCCUUACAGGAAAGUGAAUAGCAACCAAGGUGAGCCCACCCUGGGAGGGCAGAGUGGGUGUACUUUCCUCUAAGAGCCCUGAAAACAACAGGGCACACAAACAGCCACAGCACCCUCAACAAUGCCCCACCAUCUGCCCACCAGGGCACACAGAUUCACGCAGAUUCAGUGACACAUUCCAAAAAAAGGGAAUUAGGGAGGACCCAUGGCAUGGCUAAUGGGGAGAGAGCUUUACUACUUUUAGCGCUAUUGCUAAUUAUUGGAGCAAAGAAAGGCAUACAAGGAAUGGAACCCAACCUGUUUAAAGUAAUAAAUGUCAACCCUAAAGUGCAUGGAACCAUCUCUCCUUCCCUUUUGAGGACUGUGUGCUUCACAAGCUGGGCGUUUGCUGCAUGGGGUUUUCUAAUGUAAUGUGAAUUUUCAAUGUGCUUUGUCUCUGUAGAGUGGCUUUAAAAAGCCCUUGAAGUCCUCAGCUUUAAAUCCAUGCUAAUAGGGGAAGUCUUUUUUUUUUUUUUGGAGGUGAGGAGCUUUGGUUGGGAGAAACAUUGACCCAGACUGCACUCUGGGUAAACUAGGGCAAAAGACCUGAUAUCGUCUGCAGGGUACUUAUUAACCACUGUUCAUUUGCAGGAUCAAUAUUUCCAGCAAAGGAGUCAACACUCAAGAUACACUGCUACGUCUCACUUUUUCCUUGACACAACAAUUUAUUUUAUAAAUGCAUCUGCUGGAGAAGAAAAGGCAGUACCAAGGAUUGUGUCUUUUAUCUCCAGGAUAUGCAAAGCGCAUUUAUUUUCAGCUUUUAUCUCUGGAAUUGUAUGUUGAUCCCAUACAUAUAGAUUGAUUUUGUUCAGGUAGAUAAUGAAAAGUCAAGUGGAAAAUUACACAAUGGCAUUCACGAUCCUAGUCUUAUAUCGGUAUAUAAAUUGGUUUAUUAUUUCAUUCUUUUAAAGAGGCUUUUUUUUGGUACCAGGAAAACUUCAAAAUGCAUUGUGUUGUCAGCCUCACUGAAUUUUCUUUUGGAGGAGGAGGUAGGGAGGGGAAGCCAAAGCCCCGAUUUCUCCUGCUCCUUUUGCUAAUUGUAUUGGCUAAAUGAGUUUUCACAGAGGGGGGUCCUGGCUGCUUUUUGCUCUCCCCCAGACCACUUGUAGGUUGCACACAGGGCUUCUAUAACUCUUUCUGAGUCAGGACAAAGAUAUCCGCCGUGCACACCCUGUGACAUAGGUGGAUAUUUAUUUCAUCCCGGGCAAUUCUAAAUUUUGUCAUGAUGACUGAAAGAGGCAAUCCCCUCCUGAGCAUUAAGAGGCCAGGGGUGAGAGGGUGGCAGCAUAGAAAAGCCACCACCCAGAGACAGCUUGGAGCCAUGAUCCUGGAGGAAAUGUUAUUAAUAAACAUCUUUUGGACAUUUGGUAGCCCGUGGAGCUUGCUCCAGCUUAAAGCAAUUAAUUCAGGACACUGACAUAAACUCUCCAGAUCUUUGACAGCUUGGAGCCGAAAUAAAAAUGCUAGUUCUCCGGGGAAGAGAAGAGGAUGGCUAGCCCUUUUCUGGACUGUUUGCUUAUAGGCCCAGAGAGCAACCUUCCUUGCAGAAUGAAAUGCAAGGGCACAAACAAUGUACCAGGGAGAGAAUAGAAGAUGGGAAUGAACAGUUUGAACUAUUUGCUCAGCAGAAGGGCACCACAAUGCUGGGGUAGUGGUUUUCCCAUGCGUCCACUGUCCCUUCUUUGGGAUCUUUUGUUGUCCCCUGUCUCCUUUGGCCAGAUAAGAGCACAGCUGCAGCAUUGCAGCUAACAAGUAGGCCGUACUUAUCCCCCUAAAUCUCGGGGUGCCUUUACUGUAACAAGUUAUGCUCGGCUCUCUUUUAUUUUACAAGAGGAUGGUGAGGGAGAGAAUGGAAGAACAGAGGGGGCGGACGUAUAAGACAUUUGACACUGCCUAUGUCUGAUUUCUCUUUCUUUCUUUCUUUCUUUCUUUCUUUCUUUCUUUCUUUCUUUCCUUUCUUUCUUUCUUGCAAGCUGUGAUCGGAUGCAAUCUUUGUGGGGCAUUUAAAUGGAAGGGUUCAUUGAUGUGUAUUGCUUGCCAAGCCAAAAUGUUGCCUUUGGGGAAAAGGGAGAGAGGUGUUCAUGGAGUGCAGGGAAAGGAGGUUUUGGGGCAGAGAUUUUGAUUUAAAAUAACCAGACUUCUUCUGGCUGAUGAAAAGAGGCAAAAGUUUUAAAUUGUCAAGUUUAAAACUAUGUUCAGUUAUGAUUUGCCACUUCUGAAUAUUAUUUUGGAUUUCCCCUUUCAUGCUUAUUUUGUUCAGAAUCCUAAUGAAUAGAGGUUGCUGGACUCAGGGUAAAAGCAGGAUGAACUGGAGAUGGGACAUACAAGGUACUUUUGUAAUUGCCAUAGAUUACACCUAUAAUCAGAGUAAAUGUCAUCAACAAAUAAUCAAAACAUUUUUUACAUUUGCUCUUCUAAAAUCAGAGCCUAUUUUAAAUAUAAAAGAAAGUAGAUGUGAUAAUAAUAUAAACUACAAUUACAUUAAGUUGAUAUUAAAGUCAAAAUCUAACGUAGAUUUGCACUGUUGGGUGUGUGUUCCGAAUCAGUGGGUUUUCCCACUGAUGUUGAUUUCGGGAGCCAGGCUUCAAUGUUUAAUUCUAUUGUAAUGUGGUUAUUUAGCCUGAAUGGUUUUAUAAGGUGAAAAGGCAAAAAAUUUAAUUCCGAAGAAAACUAGUGUUUUACUAUGACUGUGGUAAACAUUUCCGAAGCCCACCUGUGGGAAAUACAAAGUUUUAAUGCUGUGUGUUUUUUUGUUUUUGUAUUUUGUCUCAUCGACAAAACUGGCAGAAAAAAAUGCUUUCGCAUAUUUUUCCUGCUGGGUGGUCAGAAGGAAAGGCCGUGAAGCUAAAUGUCUCCCAUUGAGACGCUGUUCUGCAAAGAGCCGACCUCACGUGCCGCCGCCAGAGAAGAGAGCACCUGUUUAUCAAGGCUCACUGUGAGGCUGAGCUCAGCGCUGGCAGGCGAGGGGCCGCAAGCAUCCCCCACAGCCACCGAGAGGGCAUCCCUGCAGGGAAAUCAUAUCCGACAUGCCUGUGCCCACACCAGACUUAAGACUGCCUCUAAAAUGUCCAUGAAGCCAUUGUCCAGUAGAGCUGUUAGUUUUAACACCAGUGAGUAUUACCUUUGGUUAAAAGGAUGCAUGUGUAUAGGUAUAUGUGUGUGCGUGUGUGUUUGUGUUUUUGGACUUGUGUGGAGAAUGAAGAAAGGGUUCCAUUUAGGCAUUUGCAAAUAUUCGAUGGCAUAAUGAAAAGACAAAAAAAUCCUAUAAAAUAUAUCAUAUUUUGCUAUGAUUUUGUGUGUACAUGUAAUAAAAUUAUUAAGUAUAAA
Molecule: long non-coding RNA, 4907 nt
Filed under: Pan troglodytes (chimpanzee)
Lineage: Eukaryota; Metazoa; Chordata; Mammalia; Primates; Hominidae
Description: lincRNA
Source: RNAcentral